Molecule: ribosomal RNA, 497 nt
Filed under: uncultured bacterium
Lineage: Bacteria
Description: partial 16S ribosomal RNA
Rfam family: Bacterial small subunit ribosomal RNA
Source: RNAcentral
GACGAACGCUGGCGGCGUGCCUAAUACAUGCAAGUAGAACGCUGAAGAGAGGAGCUUGCUCUUCUUGGAUGAGUUGCGAACGGGUGAGUAACGCGUAGGUAACCUGCCUUGUAGCGGGCGAUAACUAUUGGAAACGAUAGCUAAUACCGCAUAACAAUGGAUGACACAUGUCAUUUAUUUGAAAGGGGCAAUUGCUCCACUACAAGAUGGACCUGCGUUGUAUUAGCUAGUAGGUGAGGUAAUGGCUCACCUAGGCGACGAUACAUAGCCGACCUGAGAGGGUGAUCGGCCACACUGGGACUGAGACACGGCCCAGACUCCUACGGGAGGCAGCAGUAGGGAAUCUUCGGCAAUGGGGGCAACCCUGACCGAGCAACGCCGCGUGAGUGAAGAAGGUUUUCGGAUCGUAAAGCUCUGUUGUAAGUCAAGAACGGGUGUGAGAGUGGAAAGUUCACACUGUGACGGUAGCUUACCAGAAAGGGACGGCUAACUACGUG